This is a long non-coding RNA of Spea bombifrons (plains spadefoot toad), 344 nucleotides long. RefSeq lists it as uncharacterized. The transcript is spliced from 3 exons. Lineage: Eukaryota; Metazoa; Chordata; Amphibia; Anura; Pelobatidae. The record is from RefSeq and is a predicted model, not a curated record.
CCCUGACCCAAUCAGUGUCCAGAACCAGAACCACACGCUGACCCAAUCAGUGUCCAGAACCACACGCUGACCCAAUCAGUAACCAGAACCACACGCUGACCCAAUCAGUGUCCAGAACCACACGCUGAACCAAUCAGUGUCCAGAACCACACCCUGACCCAAUCAGUGUCCAGAACCAGAACCACACGCUGACCCAAUCAGUGUCCAGGACCACACGCUGACCCAAUCAGUGUCCAGAACCACACACUGACCCAAUCAGUAACCAGAACCACACGCUGACCCAAUCAGUGUCCAGGACCACAUGCCGACCCAAUCAGUGUCCAGAACCACACCCUGACCCAAUC